This 519-nucleotide ribosomal RNA is filed under the name Aquanectria penicillioides. Its description in RNAcentral is "eukaryotic LSU rRNA". The stretch from base 153 to 306 matches the Rfam family "5.8S ribosomal RNA". Lineage: Eukaryota; Fungi; Ascomycota; Sordariomycetes; Hypocreales; Nectriaceae. The record is from RNAcentral.
AGGGAUCAUUACCGAGUUUACAACUCCCAAACCCCUGUGAACUAUACCAUUUGUUGCCUCGGCGGCGUCCUGCUUCACGGCGGGCCCGCCAGAGGACCCAAACUCUUGUAUUUGAAUUGAGUCUUCUCUGAGUGAUACAAGUAAUAAAUCAAAACUUUCAACAACGGAUCUCUUGGUUCUGGCAUCGAUGAAGAACGCAGCGAAAUGCGAUAAGUAAUGUGAAUUGCAGAAUUCAGUGAAUCAUCGAAUCUUUGAACGCACAUUGCGCCCGCCAGUAUUCUGGCGGGCAUGCCUGUUCGAGCGUCAUUUCAACCCUCAAGCCCCCCGGGCUUGGUGUUGGAGAUCGGCAAAACGGCCCCCUCGGGGGUUCGCGCCGUCUCCCAAAUCUAGUGGCGGUCUCGCUGUAGCUUCCUCUGCGUAGUAACUCACCUCGCACUGGGACUGGGCGCGGCCACGCCGUUAAACACCCCACUUCUGAAGGUUGACCUCGGAUCAGGUAGGACUACCCGCUGAACUUAA